This 253-nucleotide ribosomal RNA is filed under the name uncultured bacterium. RNAcentral describes it as "partial 16S ribosomal RNA". It matches the Rfam family "Bacterial small subunit ribosomal RNA", at positions 524 to 776 of the family's 1533-position model. The record is from RNAcentral.
UACGUAGGGUGCGAGCGUUGUCCGGAAUUAUUGGGCGUAAAGAGCUUGUAGGCGGUUUGUCGCGUCUGCCGUGAAAAUCCGAGGCUCAACCUCGGACUUGCGGUGGGUACGGGCAGACUAGAGUGUGGUAGGGGAGACUGGAAUUCCUGGUGUAGCGGUGAAAUGCGCAGAUAUCAGGGGGAACACCGAUGGCGAAGGCAGGUCUCUGGGCCACUACUGACGCUGAGAAGCGAAAGCAUGGGGAGCGAACAGG